AUGGUAAAGCAAAGAGAUAAACCAGUACAUCUAGAAGGUUUGGAACCGAAAGAAUAUUGGACCCUUUUUCUAGCAUGUGUUUUUGGUGACACUAAUCAACGAAAUAAUGAUGACAACUUAAUUGAAAUCGGGGAAAAAAUUGUGGAAAAAUUGAAGGGUUCUCCUCUUGCAGCAAAAACCGUGGGUAGAUUGCUGAGAAAUAACAUAUCUGUAGAUCACUGGACAAGAGUUCUUGAAAGCAAAGAAUGGGAAUCACAGACCAAUGAGCACGAUAUUAUGCCUGCAUUGAAAGUUAGCUAUGACUACCUACCUUUUCACCUGCAACAAUGCUUUUCCCCAUGUGCAUUAUUUCCGGAAGAUUACAAGUUUGAUAGUGAGGAGCUGAUUCACUUUUGGAUAGGACUUGACAUUAUACAUCCAGAUAAUAGAAUCAAAAGAAUUGAAGAUAUUGGGCGGAACAACUUGAAUGACUUAGUUAAUUAUGGAUUUUUCAAAAUAGGAACAGGUGAUUCAGGUAAACACUAUGUUAUUCAUGACCUGCUGCAUGAUUUAGCAUUGAAGGUUUCCUCACAAGAGUGUCUACAUAUAUCUUCCUCUAGCCCAAGAGCUGUAGAAAUUGCACCAUCUGUUUACCACUUGUCCAUUAGUAUGAGUGAUCCAUCCAAUAGUGAGGAUGGAAUUGUCAAAGAAAAUUUUAUGAAAGAACUGAAUAAAACAAGAAAGAUACUGAAAACUGAGAACCUACGCACUUUGAUGUUGUUUGGAGAUUACAAUGCAAGCUUUGUUCGCAUAUUCAGUGAUCUAUUCAAAGAUGCAAAAUCUUUGCGUGUUGUCUAUUUGUCAACAAUGUUCUACCAUGUGGAAUUUCUAUUGCACAACUUUUCGGAUCUUGUCCAUCUCCGCUACCUACGGCUUGUGUCAAAGUAUUAUAGUAAAAAACAGGUACCAAAGAGUAUACCAAGAUUUUAUCAGUUAAGGGUGCUAGACAUAAGUGACUGGGAGGGUGUUCAUAGUUUGCACGAAGAAAUGGGUAACCUUGUAAAAUUGCGCCAUUUCCUUGUCCCAUCGUAUGAAUUCCAUUCGAAUAUUUGUAAUGUGGGAAAACUAGAGAACUUACAAGAGCUAAAGAGAUUUAAAAUUAAGCAAGAAAGUAAUGGGUUUGAAUUAAUGGAGCUGGGGAAACUAGAAGAGAUAGGAGGAUCACUUCACAUUUGCAAUCUUGAAAAUGCACUAGCAAAUGAAGCGCAUGAGGCAAAACUCUUACGCAAAAACUGCUUGCAGCGAUUAACACUCAGUUGGAAGAAAGGCCGGUCAAAUACGAGUCCUGACGAAGAAGAUCAAUUACUUGAGAGGCUACGGCCACAUAGCAAUCUUCAUGAGCUAUGCAUUGAUGGGCAUGGAGGCUCUACUUGCCCUACAUGGCUGGGCAAAAAUCUGUUGACCAAAGGUCUGGAGGCUCUCUGCCUAGACAGCGUAGCUUGGAAACACCUUCCACCCCUUGGAGAGUUAUAUGUGAUUGGUCAAUCUGUAGAAGAGCGUGAGUCUGGAGAAGAGUUUUCCAGUUGCAUCACAGGCCCAUGCUUUCGUAACUUAAAAAGGCUAGAACUAAUUGGGUUGCCAAGAUUAAGAAGAUGGGUAGCAAAUGAAGUUUGCCCUUGGUACUUCUCACUUAUAGAGGUACUCAUUGUGAAGGAUUGCCCUGAACUAACUGAGUUACCAUUUUCAUCUUAUACUAGUUGUUACCCCUUGGAAACAGAUUCAUGUGUGACUUGGUUUCCUAGGCUAAAUGAGCUUAAAAUUGAGGAUUGCCGAAACCUGUUGUCACUGCCUCCUAUUCCUUAUAGUGACGCUUUGUGCUCUGUUACACUGACACGUGUGGGAAGAGGUCUGGAGGAGUUACGUUAUUCAAGCAAAACAUAUCACUCUUUGAGCAUAGAAGGAAAUGGUGAUAUGCAUAGCUUAGAUGAAACGGUUUUGGCAUUCCAUAAUUUAACCCAACUACAAAUACUGUGUAUCAAAAAUUGCCCACCUCUGGCUGAAAAACACCUUCAAAUGCUAACCAUGUUGGAGACCCUGGAAAUAAAUGGUUCUAGCAAUUUAUUCCUGCCGUUAGCAAGAAGUGACACCAUAUGGCAGCUUCCAGUUACCAGUUUAAAAUUAUGGAGGUGCAAUUUUAGUGGGAAGGAAGUGACAUGCCUACUCACUCAUCUCCCUGAGCUCUUGGCUUGA
This 2229-nucleotide ribosomal RNA is filed under the name Triticum aestivum (bread wheat). RNAcentral describes it as "partial small subunit ribosomal RNA". Lineage: Eukaryota; Viridiplantae; Streptophyta; Magnoliopsida; Poales; Poaceae. The record is from RNAcentral.